Eucalyptus grandis is the source of this 2194-nucleotide long non-coding RNA. RefSeq lists it as uncharacterized. NCBI's taxonomy places the organism in Eukaryota, Viridiplantae, Streptophyta, Magnoliopsida, Myrtales, Myrtaceae. The record is from RefSeq and is a predicted model, not a curated record. The transcript is spliced from 3 exons.
CGUAACCGCAACGGUUCGCGGAGGGGGGAGAGAGAAAAGUGUAGGGUGCUCGUCGGAGCUUGGGCGUCAACCUUGGUUGAGCCGCCGCCGGCCGCCGCUUUCAUCCGUCGAGUUCGCUGCUCCGUCGGAGGAUAGAGAGGGGCACCGGUUCUUCUCUGAGAACUCGUCGGCGACCGUAGCACGGCAAGGAACGUCCCUAAACCAGGUAGGCCCCCGCUUGGCUUUAUUAAGUUUUGUAAAUUUUUGUGUCAGCGAUGAAUGUCCGACGAAUUUAGUCGAAGAUGAGGCUGUUUUGUAAUGAUUUAUGUUGGGUUAGACGUUGAUCCAUCUCGCCAAAGUCAAGCGCCCUAAUGAAGUUACUUCUGAAAUCCAUAGUCGAUACUGCAUACUGUGUGUUCGAUGAAAUGAGAAACCCCGAAAUAUAUUUUGUCCGAUCGGCGUUUGAAGCUCAGUUUAAUAUUUGAUUAUUCAUAUGUCGUUGAAAUUCUUCUGAUUUCUUACUUUUGAUGUGCUUUCAUGUGACUUCGCAUCGUCCGAGCCGGUCUUGCAUACGCCCCUUCGCCGGAGCUAGCCUCCCCACGCCUGCGAGCCCUACGGUUCAAGGCCGUUCGAGUGUUCUUCAACUUGGGCACCUUUUCCAGCCACAUCAUUAAUUAUUUCUUCCCCAAUGUCAAGCUAAAGCUCGAGUGAUUAGUUAUACUCGGCUCAGCCGCACUCUCCUCACAACUUAUCGUCAUCGGGAUCUUUGCUAUAUUGGAAUUCCCCUAGUGGCUCAUCAUGUGGCAUUGCUUGGAUUCCACGAGGUGUGUCCUCAACAUGAUCUUUGACGAGGACGUCGAACUUCAACUUGCCGAUAUUAAAGGGGCUAUCGACAUCAUGGAGAAUCAUCGAGCUGACCUGGUAGAGAAGGAGAAAAUGUUGGAUCUCUUCCAACCAACCCGAUCGGUUUGCCACCUACUAAUUUGCAGUAUUGUCAUGCACUUAUUCAAACAAGCUUCCAACAUUGAAACCAUCCUACAAAACUCAUAGAUUUUUGAGAUGCCAGGUAUCUUGGACUCCUAUAGAAAGCUCCUUGGCAUAAUCAUGGUUGACUUCGUAAAAAUAUCGAACAUGCUCUAUCGCACUUUCCACCUUAACCACAUCGAGCGGCGGUCAUUGAUGAUAUUAAGCAUAGUUGGGUUGAUGACUUCUCAAUACAUUUUCCCACGAGCUCUGGGGAGAACCAUUGGCUUCUUUGUGAACUUAGUGGCGAAUGAGGUCUUAUGGGCAAUAUUCUUAUGGGUGUGCAAGAAAUUCACCUUUGGUUGGGCAGCCUUUUCUAUAUGCAACUAUUGCAAGCAUCAUUUUUAUUUUUUAUUUACUUUUUCUCUCAUUUUGGCCAUGGACUAUGUAUGAAUCCAUAUUUGGUCAAAUUGGUGGGCAAUACUACUUAAAUUUUGGUUUGGACUUUCAAAUCGAUACUUGAACGAUCAAAUAUUAAAAAACAAAUGCGAAAACGAGCCAGGAAACAUAUAACAGCAAUCGAAGGCAUAUCACGGAGAUUGACAUACCUUACCACAAAUUAAGUACCAUUCUAGUCUCGAAAUGAAUCCUUUGAAGCCUUGAAGUUCCGUUGUUCAAGAGGGUUUGCCAUAACCAAGAGCAUUGUUUUCCCCCCAGUACGUAUAGGUAUUUGCCAACAAAAUCUAGCUAUGUUAGUUAAAAGAAGAAAGUGAUUUUUGUGAAAGGAAUCACAAUUAUAGAUUGUUUGAUGCUGUGGUAACACUCUUGCUGGGAGUUGCUACCAGAAGUGAAGGGAAGCGCCUUAAUGGUAGCAAGGUGUUUAAAAUAGUGUAGUCGUAAGCGUGCCUGAUGUAUUUCUUCAUAACAUUUGAAAGCUGUUAGAUUAGAUAUCUGAUGGUUUGCCACAUCCGUAAGCAUUGUUUUCCCCUAAUCGAUAUAUUUUCCAAAACGCUGACCAAUGUCCUUCAGCUUCAAACCCUUUGUCUUGGGCAUAAUUAUGUAGAACAAAAUCAAAAAGAUAUUUGCAAUAGUUGCAUAUAAAAAGGCAGCAAAUGUGAAUUUCUUGCACACCCACGCCGAGGAGACCUCAUUUGCUGUCAAGUUCACAGCGAAGCCAAUGGUCGUCCCUAGGCUCAUAAUCUUAGGAGAAGACUUUAGAGCUAUAUAUUUGUUGACACUCGAAUUUUUGUUG